Molecule: ribosomal RNA, 253 nt
Filed under: uncultured bacterium
Lineage: Bacteria
Description: partial 16S ribosomal RNA
Rfam family: Bacterial small subunit ribosomal RNA
Source: RNAcentral
UACGGGGGGGGCAAGCGUUGUUCGGAAUUACUGGGCGUAAAGGGCGCGUAGGCGGCCUGCUAAGUCGGAUGUGAAAUCCCUCGGCUCAACCGAGGAACUGCAUCCGAUACUGGCGGGCUUGAAUCCGGGAGAGGGAUGUGGAAUUCCAGGUGUAGCGGUGAAAUGCGUAGAUAUCUGGAGGAACACCGGUGGCGAAGGCGACAUCCUGGACCGGUAUUGACGCUGAGGCGCGAAAGCCAGGGGAGCAAACGGG